CUGCAGCGGGAGGAGGAGCAGCUCAGUGCAGAGAGAGAUGAAGAGAAUGGGCUAGAACCAGAUGUUCUCCAGUCGUUUCCAUACAAUUCAUGAAAUUGCUCCCAGUAAGCUCACUCACUAGCAAGCACAAGAUGGAUGUCAGUGAGUGUGAUUCAGUUGCUCUUCAAAUUCCGAGCUAGCGAACAGGAGCAGCAUACAGGAGAGUUUUGCUAGGGAGUUCUCCAGGUGAAGAAGGAGCAACUACAGGACCCUUGGAGUGUAACUCUGCCUGGAGACUUUCAGAGAAAAUGGAAAUGUUUAGUUCUUCAUGGUGUGGUUCUACAUGGGGUACUAUGGGUGUUUUUAUUAUUGAAGACAGAUGAAGGAAGCGUACCUUGCACUUGGAAUGGAAAGAGAGCAUUGUUUUCAUGGUGGAAAAUUCUGAGAAGCAUCAGAUCUUUCCUGCUGCUGCUUGCUUCUUGCCAUCCUCAUUAAGAUUCAUCCAACAAAGCAUUGUUCCAGCAUGCCCCACAAACAAGCAAAAGGCCCCCGCCUCCUGAGUGACCUCCAUCUGCCUCUUCCCAGCAGGAAUUCAGCCCAUUCAUCUCUUCCCACAUGCUCCUCCUCCUGUAAUGCUUUUGUGUGGGUUAGUCAAUGGCCAAUUAUUAACCAUAGAAAAGGCAAUGUGCAGCUCUGUGAUUUACCCACUGUCUCCUAAGACAAUUAUAAAAUACAUUUUCUACUCAGAAUGUAUUCUUUCCAGAGGAUUUUUGCAGCUGAAAUCAACACAAGCAAGUUAUAUUCACCAGCAGAAAGUUUCUUUAGAAAAGAUUUAAGAUUGCAAGUGUUGAUAGUCUAGCCUCACAACAAUAUUGCACUGUUCACAAAAAUUCUACAUUUUGUAUAAAAUCUACGCUGUAAACUCUGGAAAUGAAUAGUUAAGAUCCAGCCAUUUCCCGAUGGCUAAGGAACCCUCCUUUAGAGUGGAGGAGCAGGGA
This is a long non-coding RNA of Chelonia mydas (Green sea turtle), 977 nucleotides long. RefSeq lists it as uncharacterized. Lineage: Eukaryota; Metazoa; Chordata; Testudines; Cheloniidae. The transcript is spliced from 5 exons. The record is from RefSeq and is a predicted model, not a curated record.